CUCCGCUUGGUGUAGUUGGUGUACGUACAAACCUUCUCCCACUACCCUUAAUUCAUCAUCUAACAUUCCACUAGUUAUCACGUUCGACUGUAAAUCGAAAGGUCCCUAGUUCGAUUCUGGGAGCGGAGA
This 129-nucleotide transfer RNA is filed under the name Pyrenophora tritici-repentis Pt-1C-BFP. RNAcentral describes it as "tRNA-Tyr (GTA) (tRNA-Tyr-GTA-2-1)". The record is from RNAcentral. Lineage: Eukaryota; Fungi; Ascomycota; Dothideomycetes; Pleosporales; Pleosporaceae.